UAGGGAAUCUUCCACAAUGGGCGCAAGCCUGAUGGAGCAACACCGCGUGAGUGAAGAAGGGUUUCGGGCUCGUAAAGCUCUGUUGUUAAAGAAGAACACGUAUGAGAGUAACUGUUCAUACGUUGACGGUAUUUAACCAGAAAGUCACGGCUAACUACGUGCAA
Molecule: ribosomal RNA, 164 nt
Filed under: uncultured bacterium
Lineage: Bacteria
Description: partial 16S rRNA
Rfam family: Bacterial small subunit ribosomal RNA
Source: RNAcentral